GGAGAAACUCAUUAAAUCGCAAGACCUUGCGCUCAUUGAGCGGCCGAUCCCUUAUUAGCUAGUUGGUGAGGUAAAGGCUUACCAAGGCGACGAUCAGUAGCUGGUCUGAGAGGACGACCAGCCACACUGGGACUGAGACACGGCCCAGACCCCUACGGAGGCAGCAGUGGGGAAUUUUGGACAAUGGGGGAAACCCUGAUCCAGCUAUGCCGCGUGAGUGAAGAAGGCCUUCGGGUUGUAAAGCUCUUUCAGCCGGAACGAAACGGUCACGGCUAAUACCUGUGACUACUGACGGUACCGGAAGAAGAAGCACCGGCUAACUACGUGCCAGCAGCCGCGGUAAUACGUAGGGUGCGAGCGUUAAUCGGAAUUACUGGGCGUAAAGCGUGCGCAGGCGGUUUUGUAAGUCAGAUGUGAAAUCCCCGGGCUUAACCUGGGAACUGCGUUUGAAACUACAAGGCUAGAAGGG
RNAcentral lists this ribosomal RNA (469 nucleotides) under uncultured beta proteobacterium. RNAcentral's name for it is "bacterial SSU rRNA". It matches the Rfam family "Bacterial small subunit ribosomal RNA", at positions 188 to 649 of the family's 1533-position model. The record is from RNAcentral. Lineage: Bacteria; Pseudomonadati; Pseudomonadota; Betaproteobacteria.